RNAcentral lists this ribosomal RNA (230 nucleotides) under uncultured bacterium. RNAcentral's name for it is "partial 16S ribosomal RNA". It matches the Rfam family "Bacterial small subunit ribosomal RNA", at positions 568 to 796 of the family's 1533-position model. The record is from RNAcentral.
CGGGCAGGUGGUCUGUUAAGUCGUUUGUGAAAAUCCGGGGCCCAACCCCGCGAAAUGCAAGCGAUACUGGCAGACUAGAGAUCGGUAGAGGCUAGCGGAAUUCCUGGUGUAGCGGUGGAAUGCGUAGAUAUCAGGAAGAACACCUGUGGCGAAGGCGGCUAGCUGGGCCGAGUCUGACACUCAUCCGCGAAAGCGUGGGGAGCAAACAGGAUUAGAUACCCUGGUAGUCC